GGCUGCAACAACGAAUCGAUAAAUUCGAUGAAAAUCGAUUACUAAAAGCGUUGGCAACGAAUUGCGUCAUCGAUUCGUUGUGUCGCACAACUCUUCCAAAAGCGCCCCCCCUUCCCGCCCGCCGUUGCGCGCAGACCAGAGCAAGUCAGAUCAGCGCGAGGGAGAGCCGCAGAUCAGCGCGAGGGAGAGCCGCAGAUCAGGGCGAGGGAGAGCCGCAGAUCAGCGUGAGGGAGAGCCCGUACCGGCAGAUCAGCGCGAGGGAAAGCCGGCAGACUUGCGCUGCUGCGAACCGGUUCCGCAUUGUUGCACAGCGAUCCAGGCAGCUGCUUCCAGCGCACGGUCCAUUCUCAAAGUGGCGCAACCAAAAAACUAUAAUUAGCACACGAUCGUUCAUGUCCACACAUGUUCUCUAUUUUCUGUCUUAUUUGUGCCUGAAGCGCGCUACUGCGGAGCUCAUCACCUGUGCUGUGGUGAUGUCACCUCACGCAGCAUCGAAAACGCACUCUGAGCUUUUCGGUCAGGAGAUCCCUUUGAUCUGCUCAAAAGUAACUGAUGAGGUGAAAAGGUAAGAAUCCAGGCAACAGAUUUUCUGGAGAAUUAAGAGGAGAUGCAGGAAGAUGAGAGACAGACAGGACAGGAAAAUAGUUCAAUAAAAACAAGAAAACAAAACAAAGUGUUGAAAAGUAAAAUGUAGGUAGAUUUACCUCCACUACACGUUUUUACCAGUAAAAAACAAUAAGUUAUACACAUGUAAUAUUUAUACAUCUGAUACAAUUCAGAUCACCUUCAAAACUCAGUCACACACCCAGGGCCGUUUCAAGACAUUUUGGGGGCCAAGGCAAAAUGCGAUCCCCCCCCCCCCCCCCUCCAAUAACUGGGCUCCCCAGAAGCCUCUGUGUAAUCCAUGCCCUCUCCAGUAGUAUUAGUUAUACGGUGUUUAUAAAAGCCCCUCAGACAUUACUGACAUGUUCUAAUAUUAUCAGAUGAAAAACUAAAUUAUCAGACAUGCUGUCUCCUCUGCUUCUUUUAUAAACUUGCAAAAAGUAACAAAACCAUUUGAAAGCCACUAUUUGUGGAUUCUCUGAAAGUUUCCAUGGAGUGUGUGACAACUUAUUUUUUCAUUGAUCCUAUCGUCUAAUCUCACAGCUGAAACGAGCAUCCUUAAUAAUCUGUGCACAGGAAGCUUACCGAUGCUGUAGUAAAACAAAAGGUAUAAUAAUUUAUUAUUAAUAAAACCUUGUUGCAGCACUAAAGCAGAAAAAUUAGAUUUUGCAUUAAAUAUGCAAAAUAUUUACAUAUGAAUUGUUUUAGAGCCCUUUUAUUGGCAGAAUCUGAUAUUAAUUUAGUUCUUACAAAAAAUGGGUCCCAACAUGGUUUGUGUGGCGUUGCCAUAGUGUGACGUCAUAGGCACAGAUCCCCUGUCCUCUUGUUUGGAAAUGGAAAUAUGGUCACCCUACAUUACACAAACUGUCCACCCGGGCUUUUGCGCUGCACAGAGACGCUUCGCUGCCUACGACUUUGAACGUCAGUUGAGAGUCAGUCUCAUGCAGACUGACCAAUGAAGAGAGGGCCUCAAGUUAAGACCCUCUCCUCAUUGGUCAGUCCACACGAGGUGGGUCAAAGGUUACUCUGGGCGGGUUACGUGUUGUCAGGCAUUCAAGUAUUGAGUAUAUUUACUGCAUAUUACAGUAAAAUAUUCUGUAUGUGACCACAUUAUGGUGAUCCUUGGGUCGUGAUGAUGGAGCCCUUGAAUAUUGUUGCCCAGGGUACAACAAAGUGUUAAUCUGGCCCUGGUUCCGCCGUCACAUUCCCGCAGAAACUGGUUGAUCACACCGGGGCCAGACUACUAGCAUGUGGUUUUACAACCACAAUGUCCUCAGAAGCAAAAACGCUUUUAAAAGGGAGGGAGGAGUCCUAACUGUUGCUGCAGGCGUGUUGUGUGAGAGUGCAGUUAUAUACUGGUUAAUAUAUUUUUGGGUUCAGUUGCUUUCAUGUGGCCUAAUGUGAGUCUAUUUGGGAUCAUUGGAAUGAUCAGCAGCAUUUCUUGAUGUGACUUUAUGGCAGUUGCCCAGGGCAUCAUCGCAAGGAGGAUGGCAUUCAUUUACUUUUGUUUUAUUUGGUAUUUUUUCAGUCAUUUUUGGAAAUAGUGAUCAAUUUUGAUUAAUUCACAGCCUAUGUUUAAUUACAUUUAAAAUAAAUGUCAACAGAUGAGAUCAAACAAAACAGAUGAGAAUUGCCCUUAAGCUGUUUAACUUGGACCAAGCAUUUUAGGUCACAGAUAGAUGUAGCUUAGGGUCUCUGUCUAUGCACCUUAUAAGACAAUUUAGGUGAUGGCAUGUUGUUUUUCUGCUAUUGAACUGUUUUCUAAUAAUGUUGUGUUAAAUAAAGUGAAGGAAGGAGAGAAAUAACGUUUCCCUAGCAGUUUUUAAAAAUUUCCCCAUGUAAUCCGAUUAAUCGAUUAAUCGUGUCGAGACCCCAUCCGAUUAAUCGAUUAUCCAAAUAAUCGUUUGUUGCAGCCCUACUACACAGGCCAACAGCAGUAAUCAAAGCAAACAAAGACCGACACUGGCAGUGGUUGAGCAUCUUAAAAAGUGACUGAAAAUAGGAUUUUAACUGUAAAAUAGUCCUUAGUUUAGUUCUGUUUCUCAUGCGGUACAACAACGUGUUACAAUAGAGAAGGAUAUGAAUAUGUCCCCAUUUCUUCAGUCUAGUCCUUGGUGUCGACCAAAGCAGCAGUUUCGCUUUCCUGUCUGGUACCACCUGGUUCUGCUCCAGGUUUGGACCUGCGCCGUGACGAGUAGCUGCACUCCACCACAUGCUCCUCGGGAUGUGUCUAGUUUGUCUGCAGCUGCUGAAGGAAGGAGAUAAGCUGCUUGGUCUCUGGGUCUGGCUGAUGGUAAAGCAUCAGUCUGAGCCUCACCCUGGUGCUUUAUUCUGCUCCAUUUCACACAGCCUGGUUUUAUCCUGUGUGACAUGAUCACACACACACACACACACACACACACACACACACACACACACACACACACACACACACAUGCACACAGACACAUGUGUAUCUUGCAACAGAAAUCUUGGUAAUACAGUCUUGACUGCAUCAUAUAAUAACUUGGGAGUCUGUUUCUCCUGUUUUAUUUUCAUAUCAGAUGAUUUGAUGAGGAUUUGAAAAAUAAAGAUCCAGAGGAUUGAAGAUACAGCUGUCAAAGUCACCAUUUCUAGUGGUUCUUCAGCCAUACUGAAGUCUCUUCUGUUCUUCUAAAUAACAGGCGUUGCAACUGACAAACAUUUGUAAAUAGCAGGAAUGACGCAAGAAAACACAUCGUACACAAGAAAUUAGUUCAUCACAACAACAUCUGUACAAAGUUUCAGCUCAGCAGUUGUUUGAGAUUUAUGUAACAUCUACCAAGUUCAGAUGUGUUGGUGUCUGCAGAUACAAACCCACUAGCAACUUCUUUAGUAGCCGCCAGCUGGGGUGACAAUUUAUAGAAACAUGGAUUUGUACGACGGGCGCUUUGAUGUAAGGUUUGUCAUCAGCUGCCCUCCGUCAGACAGUGAAGCAAACUUCAGGUGGUCCUGCAGUGUGUGUGUGUGUGCGUGUGUGUGCGUGUGUGUGUGUGUGUGUGCAUGUGUUGUGGAUGAUCUUCUAUUUUAACCCUCUUCUGUGUUAAUCCUAUAGGUCUCUCUUGGCUUUCCAGCAGCUGCUGCUCUCUUGUUCUUGGGCCAGUUCAGUACCUGCUGGCCUCCAACCAGACUAAACACCGGACAUGUUUUGGAAAAAGACAACAGUUUUUUUCGUUACACUCAAUCACCUGCAUCUUUAAACAGGACAAGUACGCAGCAGCACUAAUACAACGUAACCUGACCCAAUCUUCAAAUCAAUCAGUUUAUAUAGUGUAAAAUCAUGACGAGUCGUCUCAAGGGACUUCACAAAGUAAAAAAUUCCACAAUCUUCAUACUAAACAAGCAUGAAGCGACAGUGGAGAGGAAAACUCCCUUUUAGCAGGAAGAAACCUCCAACAGAACCUGGCUCAGUGUAAGCAGCCAUCUGCCACGACUCACUGGGGAUUAGAGAAGACCAUUCAAAGAUCAACAUCACCAUCUGUCCACACCAGGCCCCCCAAUGCAGCUGAAAAAUUGAAGCAAUCUCGGAAGUACCAAAAAUUGCAGUUCCACCCUCAUCCGCUGGGGGCUGGUGUUAGAAGCGAGCAAAUCCUCUUUGACUCCCAUGUUAAAAAUACCAAUUUCACAGCAGAAAUGAACAUGUUUACAGCCUGGUACCAAAACAUGUUUUUGGUUUAAAUUAUCUAGUUUACACUCAUGACAACUCUGAGGGGGCUGAAUUUUUUUCUCACUCUGUUCAAGUGUAUUAAAAGCCUAAACUUCUGUAUAAUUAAUGAGCAUCAGACCCACGUGACCACAGAGCUAGCUCCGUGGAAAGGCCUCAGUAGAGCCUCGGUCUGGCCUGGAAACUGUUCCGGGAUUUUGAGUCUCUGUGUUUGUGUAUUCUUGUUUGGAUAUUUUUUGUGCAAUUGUUGGACAAAAUGACUUGCUUUGGCAUUAAUUGCACGAAUAAAGCGUCCAAGGAGUCUCCACUUCAUUUUUUUCAGUAAGUAAAAUUAUAUUUAUGUAUUUUAGGUCACUGCCGAGCUGAGCUUAGAUUUUAACAUGUACUGUUUAACCAUGCCAUUUAAAUGUAAUAGGGUAAAACCCAGUGCAUUUCACAUGAUGCUGCACUUUAGAAAAUGGGUUGAAAUAUGACAUGUUGGUGGAGCUGGGUUCCCACUAUCGGCUUGUGGAGAUCUUCUCCCCUCCCCGCAGCUCGGCACAUCUCUGUCUGAUCGCGGCUUCUGUCUGCUGCGCGGGCUGCCAGCUUGUGGAGCUCUGGGAUGGAAAGCUCUGGGAUGGAAACCUUUCCACCUGGUUCUCCCAAGCGGCAGCUCUGCACAUCUCAGAUCGCAGCGGUGCUUGUCUGCUGUGCGGCUGCCGGCUUGUGAAGCUCUCGGGAGACCUCUGUGUUCCACCCGGUUUCACCCAGCAGGCAACCCAGUGUAUCUCUGACUCAGAAGCUCUGGUGUUGUGCACAGUUAACUCCGGUUGUAGCUAGGUUGCUACCUCCGUUAGCUUAGCUCCCACCUCCAUGUUAGCUUUGGGUUAGCUUCAGGUUAGCUUGUAGCUAGUUCGACCGGGUGUCGUCAGUUGAUCCCAGCCUUACAGCCCCACCCUCAGCUCCACCUCUCUUCCCUUUUGUGGAAUUGUCUGGGCUUGACGGAACCUGUGACACGGUCAAAAUGGCGGUGGUGGCCACCUCCCAUUUUAGCACAAAAACUUAUUAUUGGAGUGUAUGGUAACCCAUUGUCCAAUAUUUAUAUGUCGAUGGUCCACACACACACACACACACACACACACACACACACACACACACACACACACACACACACACACACACACACACACACACACCAGCUAACAGUAAACCUGAAUACUUUUUCUUAGUGGUGUUUUUGACAAUUAUCAAGAAAUUAUUCUAGUCAAUUUUAUGUAUAAAGUAUUUCUAUACUCUGUCACGGUGAGUGUUGGUUUUGGACCCAUAUGCAGGUGAGUGAAGUUCUAAGGCAGCAAACUACUUAAAUCCAUUUAUUGCAGGGACUUGGGAGUGCAGGAACAACAGGAACAGAAGCACGUUCACAUGGGGAGACAUAAGACGAGGUCAACAGACAUACCGACAACACACAAGCAACACACAAGGCUUAUAUACAUACUGGGAUGGGUAAUCGGGUAACACGAGGCAGGUGGACACAAUUAAGGUAAAACCCAAGGCACAGGGGAGCAAUAAUGUGACAAUCUCUCGACUGGGAAACAAGAGUGUUGGACACACAAGCAUUUGUUUGCAAUGGUUUUAAACUGUGGUACUUAUGUUCAUGUUUUAUGUUCAGCGACCUUGAGCGUCUUGAAAGGCACUUACAAAUACAAUGUAUUAUUAUUUAUUAUUAUUUCAGCUUCAGCUCGCUCCUCUGUUGUUCCUACUGGGUCUGAAUGUUUUACUGUCAGUGUUUACCGGUUCUUCUUUUAAGUUUGCUUCGAACCAGAAAUACUCCCAAACUGCAGAAGUUGUGUUGUUUUUAGACACCAAGUCAACUGGUGCGUGAGCUGCCAUUUUUCUCUUGGCACAUCAUCUCUGCGCUGUCAUGUGAUGACAUCACGUUCAUAAACUUUAUGGAAUGUCUCGAAAUUUUGGACAAAACAUUUAAACUAUUUAAGCAAAACUGAAAAUGUUACCACACAUCUGUUUUAGUAAGUAAGUAAAGUAAGUACAUUUUAUUUAUAUAGCACUUAUCACAGACAUAGAAUCACAAAGUGCUUCACAUAGAUCAAAACAAAAUAAAACAAAGUCAUAAAAUCAUAAAUAAACAUCAUAAAAUCAAAAUGCUCUCAAAAAAGAAUUAGAUUAACAUCAGAAAAAAUAAAGUCAUCAAAUUAUAAAAUUUCAUAAACAGAUGAAAGAUUAAAAAUUUGAGUUCAAAAUAAGAAAAUAAAGGGUUUAGGUAAUAGCAGCUUUAAAUAAAAGGGUCUUUAGCUGUUUAUUAAGUGUCCGGACGUCAACGCUGCGUAAGGAUAAAGGAAGAUCAUUCCAGAGUUGGGGUGCAACAGUCUGGAAGGAGCGAUCACCUCCACUUUUGUAUCUGGUCUUUGGAAAUUCUAGAAUGUUCUGGUGGGUGGACCUGAGGGCUCGAGUUGGAGCAUAAGGCUUUAACAGUUCAGUAAUAUAGCGUUUGGUUGAGAUUUAUGUAACAAUAUUAAAUUACUUUAAUAUAUCUUUUUUAUUUAAUCCUCGUCUCCUACGUGCACUGUUGUUUUCAUGAUGGUAUUGGAAUGGAUACCGUUGUUAUUUUUUCCAACACCGGCUGUAUACGGUAAUACCGCCCAAGGCUAGAUGAGAGCAAUGCACAUCAACAACUGAGCAACACAUAAAACUAGUUCAAACGUAAGGGCAGAUAUAACAACACAUUAAAAGAAAAAAGAUCAAGUAGAAUAUGCACGCCUGAAUAAAUGAGUUUUAAGUACCAAUUUGAAAGUUUGGGUAGAUGAAGCUACGAAUACCUAGAGGAAGUUUGUUCCAAAGCUGCUGUGCCGCUGAACCAAAUGACCUGUGUCCCAUGGUGGACAGACGGUGCAUGGAACUGUGAGGAGACAGAGGAAGAACGAAAAGUGAGAGAUAGCAGCCUUCUGUUUUGAGCCUGUUAUUAAAAAAAGACGAUAACGCACUUUUCUGGUGGAAAAUGUGCUGCCAGUCUUCGCCAGAUGUCGCGACUAGCCCCAAAGUGCCCUUGUGUCUGUGCCAGAAGCUCAUCAAAGCGGGUCCACAACGUCCGUUGAAGCUGGAAAAGGUAAACAUCCUGGUUUUUCUGGCAAAAAAUCUUUUUACAAGCUGCAUUAUUUUUUAAAGUUCAUAUUAUGUGUAUGUUGUUAUUGUUUUAGUGUUUGUUAUUCAGAUUCUGAAUGGUGAAGGUCCAAACCAACAGCUUGGUAAUUCAACUUGAGGCUUAUGUCAUUAUUUUAAAGUUGGUCUUGUUAAUAUCAUACACCAGGGAUUCCCAAAGUGUGGUGCGCGCAACCCUGGGGGUGCGCGAGCUGCCGCUAGGGGGUGCGCGAGGUGAAAAGUGUGAUGGCUGCGGAGCUCAGAGAAGUCUGUCAUAUGUCACCAUUAGCGUAGCAAGAAACUCAUUUGUGGGUGGGCCAAAGAGAAAGUAAGUGGGCACAAUAAAUGUAAUUGAAAACAAGUAUAUUUUUGCGCGCGCGCGUAUCCUCCGCAUGUGCCCUAGCUUCAUAAUAACAAUGCACCGAGCUUCAGCACUCUGGCCUGCGCACGCCGAUAUGCUCCGUAUUUGAUCAUUUUUAACGGUGUUGGAGGAAUCUGAAGGUGAGUCAUUCUGGCAGAUUGUAAUUAACACCUGUCUCAUGCAGGUGUUCUGACAUUGUAAACCUCACACACAGGACAUUGUGGAUGUAACAAAAUAACAAGAAAUGAUUCCCAUUCAGGCUAUUGACAGCGUGCUGACGAUCUGAAGUUCAGAGUGCGUCUGUCAGAGGUCAGACGCGUUCCGGCUGAACCACGGCUCACGGGUGCACAUGUGAGCACAUCUGGGCUGGGCAGAAGUCAUUUUACAACAUUGGUUUAAAUAGCGCGAGACGCGGUAACUUGAGCGGCUGUGCCGCGCGCGCGCACACACACAGAUUCAAUAAGCGCACACGCUGCUUUAACUCCGGCCCGCUGUCAGACUGAAGGCAGAAAUGAACGCUGCCUCCACCGUGAUAAAAACUUUUAAGAGGUUAUUUUUCAUUCAAGGUCAAAUUAAGAUAUUAGCUUCUGGGAUGAGUCGGGUCCGCUCCAGCCAGUGACUCCUCAUGAACCUGACCACAAGUCCUGUUACUGCAGCAUUUGAUAUUCCAGUCCGCAUGACAGCGGAUCGCAGAUUGAGCCACACCAUAAAACAGCAAUAAGUCUGUCUGAGGUAAAAGUGAACAUCAUGGCUAUAUCUUGUCCCCUAUAGACAUUUGAUUACGCACAAGUAGGUGAUCAGCUCAGGUUUACGCAGAGCAGAAGGAAGGAGAGCGCUCUGGCCGCACAGGUUAAACGUUAGGGAUGCACCGAUCAGGUUUUUUGCUGCCGAUCACCGAUACCGAUAUCAAAGAAUGCUGAUCACCGAUACCGAUCACGUUCAUUGGCCAGAAAUUUUCUACAACAUUAUAAUGAGUGCUACAAACUACAUAAUCUGGGAAUAAAGGAAAUGUAACCUAAUCUAAAAUGGUCUGUAUGACCCCCAAAUUCCACUACCUCCGCUCCGGUCCGCCCCCGCCCUCAGCAGCCGCUCGCUUCCGAACUCAAUUUUUACUGGUACCUGCUCUACAACGGCUCCGCUCCGGUGCGGAGACCUGAGGGGGGCAAACAAGCAUGCACAGGAUUUUCGAGAUCUUGCGAUACAGUCCGAGCAGUAAACGCGGAAGUUAGAUCCAAACACCCGUUGUGUGGGAGAAACAUCGGCAUGAACUGUUUAAUCUGCCCAUCAUUUGUGUUGAGAGAUCAGCAGUGAUUGGAUCAACAAAGUGUGACUACUUUGAUAGUGGAAACUGUAUUUAUGGCUUACUUUUGUGCAUUUAAACUUCAGCCGCCACUGAUAGUUGUUAAAAGUUGUUAAACCUGUGCA
This is a non-coding RNA of Nothobranchius furzeri (turquoise killifish), 9203 nucleotides long. Lineage: Eukaryota; Metazoa; Chordata; Actinopteri; Cyprinodontiformes; Nothobranchiidae. The record is from RefSeq and is a predicted model, not a curated record.